This 253-nucleotide ribosomal RNA is filed under the name uncultured bacterium. RNAcentral's name for it is "partial 16S ribosomal RNA". It matches the Rfam family "Bacterial small subunit ribosomal RNA", at positions 524 to 776 of the family's 1533-position model. The record is from RNAcentral.
UACGAGGGGGGCGAGCGUUGUUCGGAGUUACUGGGCGUAAAGGGCGCGUAGGCGGCGCACCAAGUCAGGCGUGAAAGCCCUGGGCUCAACCCGGGAAUUGCGCUUGAGACUGGUGUGCUUGAGUACGGGAGAGGAUAGUGGAAUUCCCAGUGUAGAGGUGAAAUUCGUAGAUAUUGGGAAGAACACCGGUGGCGAAGGCGGCUAUCUGGACCGUAACUGACGCUGAGGCGCGAAAGCGUGGGGAGCAAACAGG